UGCGGCGGCUACACAUUGCAAGUCGAGCGGCAGCACGGGAAGCUUGCUUCCUGGUGGCGAGCGGCGGACGGGUGAGUAAUGCAUAGGAAUCUGCCCGAUAGUGGGGGAUAACCUGGGGAAACCCAGGCUAAUACCGCAUACGUCCUACGGGAGAAAGCAGGGGCUCUUCGGACCUUGCGCUAUCGGAUGAGCCUAUGUCGGAUUAGCUGGUUGGUGAGGUAAUGGCUCACCAAGGCGACGAUCCGUAGCUGGUCUGAGAGGAUGAUCAGCCACAUCGGGACUGAGACACGGCCCGAACUCCUACGGGAGGCAGCAGUGGGGAAUAUUGGACAAUGGGCGCAAGCCUGAUCCAGCCAUGCCGCGUGUGUGAAGAAGGCCUUAGGGUUGUAAAGCACUUUCAGUGGGGAAGAAAGCCUGCCGGCUAAUACCCGGGAGGAAGGACAUCACCCACAGAAGAAGCACCGGCUAACUCCGUGCCAGCAGCCGCGGUAAUACGGAGGGUGCGAGCGUUAAUCGGAAUUACUGGGCGUAAAGCGCGCGUAGGUGGCUUGAUAAGCCGGUUGUGAAAGCCCCGGGCUCAACCUGGGAACGGCAUCCGGAACUGUCAGGCUAGAGUGCAGGAGAGGAAGGUAGAAUUCCCGGUGUAGCGGUGAAAUGCGUAGAGAUCGGGAGGAAUACCAGUGGCGAAGGCGGCCUUCUGGACUGACACUGACACUGAGGUGCGAAAGCGUGGGUAGCAAACAGGAUUAGAUACCCUGGUAGUCCACGCCGUAAACGAUGUCGACUAGCCGUUGGGUCCUUCGCGGACUUUGUGGCGCAGUUAACGCGAUAAGUCGACCGCCUGGGGGAGUACGGCCGCAAGGUUAAAACUCAAAUGAAUUGACGGGGGCCCGCACAAGCGGUGGAGCAUGUGGUUUAAUUCGAUGCAACGCGAAGAACCUUACCUACCCUUGACAUCCUCGGAAUCUGCCGGAGACGGCGGAGUGCCUUCGGGAACCGAGUGACAGGUGCUGCAUGGCUGUCGUCAGCUCGUGUUGUGAAAUGUUGGGUUAAGUCCCGUAACGAGCGCAACCCUUGUCCUUAUUUGCCAGCGGGUAAUGCCGGGAACUCUAAGGAGACUGCCGGUGACAAACCGGAGGAAGGUGGGGACGACGUCAAGUCAUCAUGGCCCUUACGGGUAGGGCUACACACGUGCUACAAUGGUCGGUACAAAGGGUUGCGAGCUCGCGAGGGCAAGCUAAUCCCAGAAAGCUGAUCUCAGUCCGGAUCGGAGUCUGCAACUCGACUCCGUGAAGUCGGAAUCGCUAGUAAUCGUGAAUCAGAAUGUCACGGUGAAUACGUUCCCGGGCCUUGUACACACCGCCCGUCACACCAUGGGAGUGGACUGCACCAGAAGUGGUUAGCCUAACCUUCGGGAGGCG
This 1421-nucleotide ribosomal RNA is filed under the name Halomonas sp. RNAcentral's name for it is "bacterial SSU rRNA". It matches the Rfam family "Bacterial small subunit ribosomal RNA". Lineage: Bacteria; Pseudomonadati; Pseudomonadota; Gammaproteobacteria; Oceanospirillales; Halomonadaceae. The record is from RNAcentral.